AUUCUGCCCAUGCGGGGAAGGAUGAGAAGCUUCGACCAAGGUUCGACUCGAGCGCCAGCGAGAAAGCGUUGCCGCAGGCAACGACCCGAAGGGUGAAGCGCGCAGCGCUGAGUAAUCCUUCCCCCACCACCA
Molecule: small RNA, 132 nt
Filed under: Escherichia coli
Lineage: Bacteria; Pseudomonadati; Pseudomonadota; Gammaproteobacteria; Enterobacterales; Enterobacteriaceae
Description: RtT sRNA
Rfam family: RtT RNA
About the family: This family represents a bacterial cis-regulatory element known as RtT RNA. The exact function of RtT is unknown although it is thought that it may be involved in changing the cellular response in relation to amino acid starvation.
Source: RNAcentral